Molecule: unclassified non-coding RNA, 1536 nt
Filed under: Leishmania donovani
Lineage: Eukaryota; Euglenozoa; Kinetoplastea; Trypanosomatida; Trypanosomatidae
Description: gene:LdHU3.30.0110(CDS-product:hypothetical_prote in_conserved)
Source: RNAcentral
GUCUCCUUCGACGGCGUCGUCGCCACCAGCAACAGCGCAGCUCUUGUGCGUGCGUGCCUGUGCGCGUGCCAUCGACCCCUUUGCCCAGUCUCAAGUUGCCCGUUCACUUUAGAGCGCCACGAUCGACGACCAACAGGGCCUCUCGAAGCAGCCAGAGAGAGGGAGAGGCACGAGCACGCGAGGUCGAAACGUACACACACCUUCACGCUGGAGAAGAGCGCGGAAGAGAUGCAACGCUGCCUCGCUCGGCUGUUUCAAGCGGGCGUACAUACACCGCAUGGCUCGCGAUACAAUGCGGCACGGAUGAAGAACUGGCCCGUGCAGGAGGUGCCGCAGAACUUUAGCUUCACGAAUGAACAGCGCUUCAAGGCGAAGGCCGUGCCGCGAGACACGGGAAAGAUCCCGCGCGACUUUCUGCUGUCCGUGCUGUACCGCAACCAACCUUGUGAGGUGGCAUCUCUAUGGGAGCACUGCCUGAACGAUCCGCAGAUUGUGCUGGACAGCAAGCGACACCUGCGCGAGGUCCUGCAGCAGGCCCGCGCGGAGGGGUUUGUCUCGUUCGAGAAGGACGCCGUGACAGACCGUUGGGUGUGCCACUUGACGCGUGAGAGGUUCGAGGAGGUCCGUGCGCUGGUGGGCGCGCGGGCAGAAGCGCAGGAUUUGUACUCAGGCCUGCGCGGCGCGUCAGCGACGGAGACGUCGGCAUACUCGGAGAGCUUCCGAGAGAUGAACGAGGACACGAAGCGGGAGCACUUGCGCCUGCUGUCAGAGCAGGUGGCCGACACCACCACCCAUCUCCGAAAGUUUCAGCGGAUGGAGAUGGACUACCUGCCGUACACCGACUUGAACGGCAAGGUGAACUUUAUGUGGUGGUACGAGAUGAGCGACACCCGCGACGCUACUGCGCUGCCAGAGGCAGCGGCGGAGGGCAGUCCGAAGCUGAGUGAGUAGUUUGGAGGUUGGUGGUUGGGGUGAGAAAGAUGCACGUCUGCAAUCCGGUGUGCGUUCGCUGCAUUGACCGAGGCGAUCGUUUGCUCGUACCGUAAACCCGAGAAGAAAACCAUCGCCCACAUCGCAUAAGCGAAGCGACGGCUGCGCGCAGACGCAAAGUGAGCGAGGCAUGUGUGGCCGGGGGAACGUCGGAGCCGAUUCUGCCAGCAGACGCCCAGUGCACCGACAUGUGCACAGAGGAGAUGGAUGCAGGAUGCUUUGCUGGGACGCUUUUCUUCCGCUCUCCAUUGAUCGCCCUCGACCCAGCUCUCCGCCGUCGCCGAACUCCACCUCUGUACGGAGUUUUUCUGUGUUUGGGUAUGCGCGCUCGCUUGACUUCACGGCUGGUGCCUUUGCCAUUCCAGCUAAUCCUGUCAUUCCUCAUCGAUGUCUCUCCUUUUCCGCCCCUCACCCCUCCUCUGUCUUUUACACUGCCCACACACGCCGCUGGCGUUCUUCCUGCGUUGCACUGCAUGUCGUCCUCCCUCCCCCGUUCCCUCCGCGAUCUCGCACCUCUCUGCGCGCACCAUGGCGCUCGCAACGGAG